CAGUAGCCGCGGGAAAACGAAGGGUGCAAGCGUUACUCGGAAUUACUGGGCGUAAAGCGUGCGUAGGUGGUGGUUUAAGUCCGUUGUGAAAGCCCUGGGCUCAACCUGGGAAUUGCAGUGGAUACUGGGUCACUAGAGUGUGGUAGAGGAUAGUGGAGUUUCCGGUGUAGCAGUGAAAUGCGUAGAGAUCGGAAGGAACAUCUGUGGCGAAGGCGACUAUCUGGGCCAACACUGACACUGAGGCACGAAAGCGUGGGGAGCAAACAGGAUUAGAUACCCCAGUAGUCCCUGUCUCUUAUAC
This 301-nucleotide ribosomal RNA is filed under the name uncultured bacterium. RNAcentral describes it as "partial 16S ribosomal RNA". It matches the Rfam family "Bacterial small subunit ribosomal RNA", at positions 509 to 807 of the family's 1533-position model. The record is from RNAcentral.